Molecule: long non-coding RNA, 1020 nt
Filed under: Bos indicus x Bos taurus (hybrid cattle)
Lineage: Eukaryota; Metazoa; Chordata; Mammalia; Artiodactyla; Bovidae
Description: lncRNA (ENSBIXG00000026425.1)
Source: RNAcentral
AGAAGAAGGAAGAGAGGGAGGGAGACAGACCCAGCUGCAAAGGACAAAAUCCAAUGGGAGGGAGCUCAGGCAAGGAGAGUUUUUUUUAAAGUCACAAGAAAUGAGAGGAAGCAGGAGGCUCCCAGGGGCUUGCGGAUAAGAGAGCUGAAAUUCAAAAUGGAAAUCUAACAAAGCAGCAAGUAGGCCGGUUGCAAAAGACCCAGCUCCGGCAUGAGAACAUGGGCAGAAAUAUCAAGAAAAACUGAACUGCAAAUUUAGAUGGCUGCUUUCCAAUGGCUGUGGGAAGCCUCUGUGGACCUUUUUCUUUAUUUUUCACUUGGGACCUGAGAGGUGUGCCAUCAGGUCUUUGCCAGACUGACAUCUUAUGAUUCUGUUUUCCUUUAGAUUUCUUCUUGCCAAAGGUGGUCCCAGUAACUACAGCACCUUCACUAAAUGGGGCCUGCUGAAGUUUCUCCCAAGAAUGUGGCUCUGGCCACAGCUCCAAUGGACAGAAGUGCCACAGCGGGCUUGCUCUAACUAGCGCCUGAGAGCAUGCCUAACCUUGGGGUAGAGAGGCCAGACAUUCCCUUGGGAGAUCACAGAUGCACUGCUGAGUCCAGCCAUCCAGCCAGUUCCUCCUAAGCAGAUUCCCAUCGGCCCUUCCAUCUGCCAUGUGACAGUCAUCUAUCCAUCCGGACAUCAGGUCAGCCUGCACUUACCCGUCCUGGGCAUCUGUCAAUCUUCCUUCUGACAUUAGAGACCACCAGAUGGUCCUUACAUGCUUCUUGGUUCAUCAAUCGGUCAGUCCCUCUCUUCAGACCAAGGGCCUUGAUUUGUGUCUCCAGGGUGGAGACCCCUGACUCAGGGUCAGUGGGAACAGACCUAGCCAUGUCCCCAGACGGUUUAUAAUCGGACACCCGUGGAGCCAGCAUUCACCCAGCAGCCCCCUAGGUCAUGAUGCCAAACAGAUCUCCCUUUCUGCCCCCUCAAAACCUCAUCUCCCCUGGGCCCAGCUGCCCCCACUGCUGGGGACUUUUCCCU